This 251-nucleotide ribosomal RNA is filed under the name uncultured Oceanicaulis sp. RNAcentral's name for it is "partial 16S ribosomal RNA". It matches the Rfam family "Bacterial small subunit ribosomal RNA", at positions 524 to 774 of the family's 1533-position model. The record is from RNAcentral. Lineage: Bacteria; Pseudomonadati; Pseudomonadota; Alphaproteobacteria; Maricaulales; Maricaulaceae.
UACGGAGGGGGCUAGCGUUGUUCGGAAUUACUGGGCGUAAAGCGCACGUAGGCGGAUCAGCCAGUCAGAGGUGAAAGCCCAGGGCUCAACCUUGGAAUUGCCUUUGAUACUGUUGAUCUGGAGUCCGGGAGAGGUGUGUGGAAUUCCGAGUGUAGAGGUGAAAUUCGUAGAUAUUCGGAGGAACACCAGAGGCGAAGGCGACACACUGGACCGGUACUGACGCUGAGGUGCGAAAGCGUGGGGAGCAAACA